RNAcentral lists this ribosomal RNA (253 nucleotides) under uncultured bacterium. Its description in RNAcentral is "partial 16S ribosomal RNA". It matches the Rfam family "Bacterial small subunit ribosomal RNA", at positions 524 to 776 of the family's 1533-position model. The record is from RNAcentral.
UACGUAGGGCGCAAGCGUUGUCCGGAAUUAUUGGGCGUAAAGAGCUCGUAGGCGGCUUGUCACGUCGGAUGUGAAAGCCCGGGGCUUAACCCCGGGUCGGCAGUGGAUACGGGCAGGCUAGAGGUAGGUAGGGGAGAAUGGAAUCCCCGGUGUAGCGGUGAAAUGCGCAGAUAUCGGGAGGAACACCGGUGGCGAAGGCGGCUCUCUGGGACGGUACUGACGCUGAGACGCGAAAGCGUGGGGAGCGAACAGG